This 23-nucleotide microRNA is filed under the name Caenorhabditis briggsae. Its description in RNAcentral is "Cbr-Novel-1_5p* (star (passenger))". Lineage: Eukaryota; Metazoa; Nematoda; Chromadorea; Rhabditida; Rhabditidae. The record is from RNAcentral.
CGGGUUUUGUUUUCCUUCAUACC